CCUACGGGAGGCUGCAGUGAGGAAUAUUGGUCAAUGGGCGGAGGUCUGAACCAGCCAAGCCGCGUGCGGGAAGACUGCUCUAUGGGUUGUAAACUUCUUUUGUAAGAGAGGAAUCCUGACUACGUGUAUUCAGCUGCCCGUACUUUAUGAAUAAGGAUCGGCUAACUCCGUGCCAGCAGCCGCGGUAAUACGGAGGAUCCAAGCGUUAUCCGGAUUUAUUGGGUUUAAAGGGUGCGUAGGCGGAUUGAUAAGUUAGUGGGUAAAUGUCCGAGCUUCAACCUGGAUUUGCCUUUAAUACUGGAGUUCUAGAGUGCAGACGAGGUAGGCGGAAUGAAUGGAGUAGCGGUGAAAUGCUUAGAGAUAACACAGAACCCCGAUUGCGAAGGCAGCUUACCAAUCUAUUUCUGACGCUGAGGCACGAGAGCGUGGGUAGCGAACAGGAUUAGAUACCCCUGUAGUC
This 460-nucleotide ribosomal RNA is filed under the name uncultured bacterium. RNAcentral describes it as "partial 16S ribosomal RNA". It matches the Rfam family "Bacterial small subunit ribosomal RNA", at positions 338 to 795 of the family's 1533-position model. The record is from RNAcentral.